CAGUCGCCGCGGGAACACGUAGGUGGCAAGCGUUGUCCGGAAUUAUUGGGCGUAAAGGGCUCGCAGGCGGUUUCUUAAGUCUGAUGUGAAAGCCCCCGGCUCAACCGGGGAGGGUCAUUGGAAACUGGGAAACUUGAGUGCAGAAGAGGAGAGUGGAAUUCCACGUGUAGCGGUGAAAUGCGUAGAGAUGUGGAGGAACGCCAGUGGCGAAGGCGACUCUCUGGUCUGUAACUGACGCUGAGGAGCGAAAGCGUGGGGAGCGAACAGGAUUAGAUACCCCUGUAGUCCCUGUCUCUUAUAU
Molecule: ribosomal RNA, 301 nt
Filed under: uncultured bacterium
Lineage: Bacteria
Description: partial 16S ribosomal RNA
Rfam family: Bacterial small subunit ribosomal RNA
Source: RNAcentral